Molecule: long non-coding RNA, 1321 nt
Filed under: Homo sapiens (human)
Lineage: Eukaryota; Metazoa; Chordata; Mammalia; Primates; Hominidae
Description: long intergenic non-protein coding RNA 343
Source: RNAcentral
GCUCACCCUAGAUCAAGAGGAGAGGCUCUCCAGAUUUGCUGACCUAGAAGGAUAAGUCUGAAAUACCCUUGGCUGUGUACAUUUGAGUAAAGAGAGCACUAUAAAAUCAAAAACCAAUGAAAUGGUUUCCAGAACACAGAACUAUUAAGCUUAAGAAAAGGACAGAAGGAACUGAAGAGAGAGGAACUGUUUUGGAGCAUCACACUUCCACCUCAGAAGAAAUAAGGAAGGAAGGAGGAGGGUGUUCCCACGGCUCUUCAACCAGGCCGGCUCUUCAGCCUACAUCCCCAUCUCAUCAAGUAAAAGGGAUUUUUCAACUGGACCAACCAGAUGGUUUAACAGUGCACUCCCACACCAUUCAACUACGCAAGGGAGAUACACUUAACAUAUGCAGUCGUAUAACACCUACUAACAUUUUCAAACAUUAAACCUUUAAAAAAGAGUUCUAAAGAAAUAGAAGCUUGAAGUAUCAUCUCUCAAGUAUAUAGACACUACUUCAUGGUGUGGUAAUAUAUGCAUAUAGAAGCUAGUAAACACCUCCAGGAGAUGCAAAAGGAAUUAGAACUGCCACAAGGUGCAAGCAAAACCUUGAGGUAAUCAAUCUGCAUCCCAUUUUGGAUGAGAAUAUUUGCAACUUUGAAGGUUAUUUUAAGGACAGCAGCAGAAGAAUUAUGGCAGGUAUCUGAAAUUCAUUUCUGUGCUUUGCCGAGGACCCAUGGGAUGCCAUUUGCAGAUGAGAAAACUAAAGAAUAGCUUUAUCUUCCAGCUCUUCACGGAAAAAAAAAUGGCAACAAUAAAAUCAGCAACUCCUGCCAAAUAAAUGGGCAUAAAAAAGAAAUCAUAGACUGCUGGCAAUGGUGGGGAAAAAGUUAUAAAAAUUGUCUCUGCACCAUCUUCCUUUUGUCCUCUAAAAUAUUCACAUUAGCAAAAGUAUAUAACAGCUGAUGAAGAAAUACUGAUAAUUUGUCUUUGUAAGUAUAUCGAAAACAUUUCAAGAUCUAGAAAUUUGAAAUUGUUGACAAGUAUUUAUCUGUUUAUUCACAAAUUUGAAAUCAACCUCAGGAAUGCUCAUUCUGAUUGAUAUACUUAGGUCAUAAAUUUUUAAGACCACAGAUUUCCAGGGACUUUUUGGAAAAUCACCCAGUAAAACAAUGUCUUUUUGCAGGGGACUAGCUUCAGUAUUUUGGCUUCUUUUUGCUUCUUUGCAACAAAUUGGGAGACAAAGGUGGGAAAGUUUUUUUCAAUAAGUUAAUAAUUUUUUAAAGGUCAAAAUUUUGUUCUUUGCUUAUAUUAGAAUUAAACACUGUGAGAUUCUCUCUGA